Molecule: ribosomal RNA, 369 nt
Filed under: Triticum aestivum (bread wheat)
Lineage: Eukaryota; Viridiplantae; Streptophyta; Magnoliopsida; Poales; Poaceae
Description: partial small subunit ribosomal RNA
Source: RNAcentral
AUGAAGUAUUGGAAGCUGUCAUUCUUGACCAUUUGUCUUCCGGUCAUACUCGACCCCAGGUACAAGUUUAAAUUCUUGGAGUUCUGCUUAAAAUCUGGACUUGAAAGUGAUGCAACAAGGUAUCUUGCUAAAGUGAAGAGAACAUUCAAAGAUCUAUUUGUUGAAUAUUCUAUGCAUGAGGGUGAGUCAAAUAUGGGAAAUGAUCAAGGAACCAACAAUGUUGGUACAAGUAUUGAUAACCCAUGGGAUCAAUGGAACAAACAAGUUAAGCAAAAUCAAGAAAAUCGAGCAAAGCUGAGUGAACUUGAUAUUUACCUAAAAGAUGAUGUUUGCCCGCAAGAAGAUGGGUUCGACAUACUAUGUUGGUAG